AGGGUUGUAGUUAAUUAAUAACAUCUGGUUUGCAUCUAGAAGGUACCUGCUAAGGUCUACCUUA
RNAcentral lists this transfer RNA (64 nucleotides) under Allopsontus sp. 1 JZ-2014. RNAcentral describes it as "tRNA-Ala". Lineage: Eukaryota; Metazoa; Arthropoda; Insecta; Archaeognatha; Machilidae. The record is from RNAcentral.